This 467-nucleotide ribosomal RNA is filed under the name uncultured bacterium. Its description in RNAcentral is "partial 16S ribosomal RNA". It matches the Rfam family "Bacterial small subunit ribosomal RNA", at positions 28 to 506 of the family's 1533-position model. The record is from RNAcentral.
GACGAACGCUGGCGGCGUGCUUAACACAUGCAAGUCGAACGGAAAGGCCCUGCUUUUGUGGGGUGCUCGAGUGGCGAACGGGUGAGUAACACGUGAGUAACCUGCCCUUGACUUUGGGAUAACUUCAGGAAACUGGGGCUAAUACCGGAUAGGAGCUCCUGCUGCAUGGUGGGGGUUGGAAAGUUUCGGCGGUUGGGGAUGGACUCGCGGCUUAUCAGCUUGUUGGUGGGGUAGUGGCUUACCAAGGCUUUGACGGGUAGCCGGCCUGAGAGGGUGACCGGCCACAUUGGGACAGAGAUACGGCCCAGACUCCUACGGGAGGCAGCAGUGGGGAAUAUUGCACAAUGGGCGGAAGCCUGAUGCAGCAACGCCGCGUGCGGGAUGACGGCCUUCGGGUUGUAAACCGCUUUCGCCUGUGACGAAGCGUGAGUGACGGUAAUGGGUAAAGAAGCACCGGCUAACUACGU